UACGGAAGGCAGCAGUGGGGAAUAUUGCACAAUGGGCGCAAGCCUGAUGCAGCCAUGCCGCGUGUAUGAAGAAGGCCUUCGGGUUGUAAAGUACUUUCAGUCGUGAGGAAGGUGUUAAGGUUAAUAACCUUAGCAAUUGACGUUAGCGACAGAAGAAGUACCGGCUAACUCCGUGCCAGCAGCCGCGGUAAUACGGAGGGUGCGAGCGUUAAUCGGAAUUACUGGGCGUAAAGGGCACGCAGGCGGUUAAUUAAGUUGGAUGUGAAAUCCCCGGGCUUAACCUGGGAAUGGCAUUCAAGACUGGUUAGCUAGAGUCUUGUAGAGGGGGUAGAAUUCCAUGUGUAGCGGUGAAAUGCGUAGAGAUGUGGAGGAAUACCGGUGGCGAAGGCGGCCCCUGGACAAAGGCUGACGCUCAUGUGCGAAACGUGGGGAGCAAACAGGAUUAGAUACC
This 451-nucleotide ribosomal RNA is filed under the name uncultured bacterium. RNAcentral's name for it is "bacterial SSU rRNA". It matches the Rfam family "Bacterial small subunit ribosomal RNA", at positions 340 to 786 of the family's 1533-position model. The record is from RNAcentral.